Molecule: ribosomal RNA, 397 nt
Filed under: uncultured bacterium
Lineage: Bacteria
Description: partial 16S ribosomal RNA
Rfam family: Bacterial small subunit ribosomal RNA
Source: RNAcentral
AUACGUAGGGGGCGAGCGUUGUCCGGAAUGACUGGGCGUAAAGGGCGUGUAGGCGGCUGGAUAAGUCUGGAGUGAAAGUCCUGCAUUCAAUGUGGGAAUUGCUUUGGAGACUGUCUGGCUUGAGUGCGGAAGAGGUAAGUGGAAUUCCCAGUGUAGCGGUGAAAUGCGUAGAGAUUGGGAGGAACACCAGUGGCGAAGGCGACUUACUGGGCCGUAACUGACGCUGAGGCGCGAAAGCGUGGGGAGCGAACAGGAUUAGAUACCCUGGUAGUCCACGCGGUAAACGAUGAAUGCUAGGUGUAGGGGGUAUCGACCCCUCCUGUGCCGGAGUGAACACAAUAAGCAUUCCGCCUGGGGAGUACGGCCGCAAGGUUGAAACUCAAAUGAAUUGACGGGG